UACGAAGGGGGCUAGCGUUGUUCGGAUUUACUGGGCGUAAAGCGCACGUAGGCGGAUCGUUAAGUCGGGGGUGAAAUCCUGGAGCUCAACUCCAGAACUGCCUUCGAUACUGGCGAUCUUGAGUCCGGAAGAGGUGAGUGGAGCUGCGAGUGUAGAGGUGAAAUUCGUAGAUAUUCGCAAGAACACCAGUGGCGAAGGCGGCUCACUGGCCCGGUACUGACGCUGAGGUGCGAAAGCGUGGGGAGCAACAGGG
Molecule: ribosomal RNA, 253 nt
Filed under: uncultured bacterium
Lineage: Bacteria
Description: partial 16S ribosomal RNA
Rfam family: Bacterial small subunit ribosomal RNA
Source: RNAcentral